UGGGAUGCAGGAUGUGCAAGUGGGCUUGAAGGGUUAGCAUUUGUAGAUUGAGGUUGUUGUGAAUAUUGAGAAAACUGAGACGGGGUUUGAUACUGUUGUGGUGGAGCUGGGGGCGCCUGCGCCUGUGGAACUGGAGGGGCUUGAUACUGCUGUGGUGGAGCUGGAGGUGCAUGUGCCUGUGGAACUGGAGGGGCUUGAUACUGCUGUGGUGGAGCUGGAGGUGCCUGUGGCUGUGGAACUGGAGGGGCUUGAUACUGUUGUUGUGGUGCAGGAGGCGCCUGUGGCUGUGGAACUGGAGGUGCUUGAUACUGCUGAUGAAUGGCUUCAGUUGGCUGGGCAGAUGGUGUGUAGUAGGGUUCCUGUGGUAAAGCUGGUACAGAGGGAGCCGAUGAAUGGCCUAGGAACUGUGCUGGAGGCUGACUUUGAAGCGUUGGAGGUGGAGGCGGCGCGUUAGGAGCAGGAAGGGCAGGAAAAGUUUGGGGUUGAUGUUGCGGCGGAACCCCUGCCUGCUGCGGAGCAACUGACUGGUGCAGCG
Molecule: long non-coding RNA, 535 nt
Filed under: Hordeum vulgare
Lineage: Eukaryota; Viridiplantae; Streptophyta; Magnoliopsida; Poales; Poaceae
Description: long non-coding RNA (HVUL_LNC006439)
Source: RNAcentral